UAGAUUAAAGCCAGUUGAUUAGGGCACUUAGCUGUUAACUAGGUUUUUGUGGGUUUGAAUCCCAUUAAUCUAG
RNAcentral lists this transfer RNA (73 nucleotides) under Trachypithecus johnii (Nilgiri langur). RNAcentral's name for it is "tRNA-Asn". It matches the Rfam family "tRNA". Rfam says of the family: Transfer RNA (tRNA) molecules are approximately 80 nucleotides in length. Their secondary structure includes four short double-helical elements and three loops (D, anti-codon, and T loops). Further hydrogen bonds mediate the characteristic L-shaped molecular structure. tRNAs have two regions of fundamental functional importance: the anti-codon, which is responsible for specific mRNA codon recognition, and the 3' end, to which the tRNAs corresponding amino acid is attached (by aminoacyl-tRNA synthetases). tRNAs cope with the degeneracy of the genetic code in two manners: having more than one tRNA (with a specific anti-codon) for a particular amino acid; and 'wobble' base-pairing, i.e. permitting non-standard base-pairing at the 3rd anti-codon position. Lineage: Eukaryota; Metazoa; Chordata; Mammalia; Primates; Cercopithecidae. The record is from RNAcentral.